AGGCUGAGGGAGAUUUGGCUGCAACAUCUGUCACCCCAUUGAUCGCCAGGAUUGGUUCAGCUGAUCUGGCUGGCUAGGCGUGUGUACCCUUCCUCCCUCACCAAUCCAUGUGGGUCCCUCCAGAUGUGGACACUGGGUCGAGGAUGACCUUCUCCAAAUAGAGGAGGACCAGUCUUCAGUCAAAGGUAUAUGAGUAGCUGAGGUCCCCUGCUAGAACCUCCAAACAAGCUCUCUUAUUUGAUCUUUUUGAUCUAGCAAUGAAAGUGUCAAUGGAGCUCUUGUUUUGUAUGUGGUUCACAAUACAAUGGCU
Cricetulus griseus (Chinese hamster) is the source of this 310-nucleotide non-coding RNA. The record is from Rfam. NCBI's taxonomy places the organism in Eukaryota, Metazoa, Chordata, Mammalia, Rodentia, Cricetidae.